UUUUAGCCCUGAUCGAAACGGCAUCCUUUUGUGGCGGGGUUCGCCACAAAAGAUAUAGUGGAGAGCAGGAAUAGCU
This 76-nucleotide small RNA is filed under the name Flavobacterium chilense. RNAcentral describes it as "Flavo-1 RNA". It matches the Rfam family "Flavo-1 RNA". The record is from RNAcentral. Lineage: Bacteria; Pseudomonadati; Bacteroidota; Flavobacteriia; Flavobacteriales; Flavobacteriaceae.